GAAUGUGGAAAAACUGUAAUUUGUCUGCCAAGUGGAGGAAUCAGAAAUCAGCACCUCUUUUUUGUUCGCUUUUAGGGACAAUUGAUUUUGCUAAUAUGAUUCAUUAAUGCCAAAUUGAACACUUGUUCUUUCAUCUCUCUCAUUCCAAAUGUCAAAGCGCCUCAUCCAUUUCUUACAUCAGGCCUAUCAAUUUAAUUGGGAGAGUGUACAAGUCAUAUCAAAGGUGUCAGUCAACAGGUGGCAGAGGCAGAGAGCUGAAUGGGACAAAUGAAAGAAAGAAACAUAAAAUCAGCAUGAUAAUGUUCAGCAGUUGAUCUCUAUUUAAAUAACAGUAAAACAUUCAUUGAGAUGACAUGAACGAACAAGAUGUUUUUUUUCCUGCAUUGAAAGUGAAACAUCAAACUCGGCAUGCUGCAAGCUACAGCUGCUGGGACAGCCAAAGCAUUAAUAAGAAGAAGAUGUGAAAUUGAAAUGGCAUUCACUUAGCAGCGCUGGCAUAAACAGUACUUACUCCAUUGAAUUUGUUGUGUUUUUUCUUUGAUAUCGGUAAGUAAGAUCUGUCUCCAUUCCAGAUAGCCUGUUUUAAGCUUAUAAUCUUGACUUACUUUGAUAAUUUGUGUAUAUAUAUCAUGUUUUUAUCAUUUUAAAUACAUAUAAAAUAUAAAAAAUUAUUGUAUCAAUUUCAUAUUAAUAUAUCAAACAUAAAAUAUAUAUUUUUAUUUUUAAAUAAUAUCAUUUUUAUAUUUUAUUUUAUAUCAAUUUUAUAUUAUACAAUCAUAUCAUAUUUAAAAUUAUCAAAUAAAGUGAUACUAUAAAUAGAGUGACCUUGGUCAAAGUUGACAACCUAAUCCAUCACUAACAGGUUUCGAUCCCACCUUAUAAGAUCAUUUUUUUUUAAAUCAAGUUUUAAGUUAGAUAAUGUGAAAAAAAAUUUAAAUUCAAAAUUAAUUAAUUAUUUAUAUAUAUUUAUAUAAUUAUAUUUAUAUUUAAAAAAUAAUAUUUUAUUAAUUUCGAAUUAAAUCGAAUUAGAUUCAAAUAUAAAAAAUAAAAAAAAAUUUAAAUUAAAUUAAAUUAAAUUUUUUUAAUUAUAAAAUCAGAUUGAAUUCGAAAUGAAAAAAAUUUGUUCCGAUCAAAUCCGAUGUCAACAUGGCCAUGGCAAAGCUUUUCAGCUUGAACGGUCACUUUGGUACAAUUUCUUUCUUUCAUGCCAUCCCUGCUAGUGGGAUAUUAGUGGAACAUCCCUGUUGCAUAUAUAGAUUAUUAUUAUAUUGAUAUUUUCAACCUUUCAUCUCUCGGGAAUACCAAGUCUCAAUCCUUUCGUCUCCUUUGCAACCUAGCCACAGCACAGUACCCAAACAAAAAAACUAGUCAAAUGGAUUUUCCAGUGGAAACGAGAGAAUUAGAAGUCAAAGUUAAGAAGGCAGAAGGUGGCCAAUAAGACUAUUCCAAGGAUGGUCGGCUACUCAGCUACGCUCUCCAUUGUUGUUUGUUACUUGCUUGAAAACCAUAAAAGACCAAAGACUUUGGACAGCUUAUUUUAAAGUUUGAAAAUAAAAAAAAAUAUUGAAAUGAAAUCUAACCCAUUUGAUAGUUAGUUAUGACUUAUGGGUUUAUAGUAUUGCAAAUGUUUCCUUUAGUAAUUUUCUCUCCCAUCUUUUAAACAUGCCUUGCCAUUACUUAUUCAACCAAAUUUAAGGUUUAAACUUUAUUUAAAUGAAUGAUGAAAAAUUUAUUCAACCAAAUUUAAGGUUUAAAUUUUAUUUAAAUGAAUGAUGAAAAAAAUUUUCCACGGCACCUUCAGAAAAAUGAUAACAUGAUGAGAAUCUUUUUUCACCUAAUAUCAACUAUCCAAAUUGAACAUUAAUUAAUCUCUAUUAUAAGCUUAAUGAAAUUGUUUUGGAUAAAUUUUGGAUAAAUAUGCAACACAUUUUGGCUUAUCGAUUAAACAAAAUUUGAGAAUAGCUUUUGCAAAAUUUUCAACUUAAUCAACGAAUUAUAUAGAAUUAUGCUUAAAUAAUUCUACAAUUUAAUUAACAAACUUUAAUAAACUUCCAAUCCAUACAAUACACCGGCAUGCUUUUCCGGUUUAUCGUUCACAAAAUACACGUCCCUCAUUUUCUGAAACGCGUGCCACGUCAACAAGGAAUCGGAACCGGCUUGGUGACAUUUCCCAACCGCCCGGUUCACAUCCAGGGUCCGAGCUACCCGGUCCAACCCACCGUACAAGCUAUUGCAGAAUCUCAUCAUGUGCUUCAUAUCAUAAACCUUGUUUCCGAAAAACACCCUGAGAAUCUUCAAAAACUCAUCUAAUCCCCCGGGCAAGUCCCGGCGCGUCAGGAUCUUAACCAGGUACCCGAAAUCAUACGCGCUGUGAAAGGUCACCCAACUCACUGCGUCGUUACACAGGAGUCCGGACGACAUCAUCAACUCAGCGAACCGUACCGAUUCAAUCCCCAUUUCCUUGUUCUUCUCAAAAUCAAUCCCUUGCUUCCUCAAAAGCUCAAUGGAAUCAGGGGCGUGAGCAUCACGCUCCACAUCGAAGUCGCGGAAAUUGAAUUCCCAGAUGAACUGAGUGUCGCCGGUUCCAAGGUCAGGCAGAUUACCUGAAGAAUCGGAGAGGGUGAGGCCCACUUGGAUCAAGUUCAAAACAUCAACGUUGGAUUUGAGAAUCCUAUAGUGAUCGGACGGUCGAAGUUGGGCAUUGUAAGGCCUAGUCGGGUCAACUUUAGGUCUGAAAACAAGACCCGGAAACUCGGUGUCCAUAGAAAUGAAAGGGUACUCAUCAAUUACCUGACUGAUCAACUCGAACUCUGAUUCUAAAUUAUCCGACCAAACUUCCCUUAUCUUUACAGGUUUUGAACUCCUGCCUGAAUCUUCAAACUCCAUAUCAGAAAAUCACAGAAAAAAGAAAGAAGAACACUUGAUCUCACUUUUUCUUCUUCCUUCGAAUUUGUUUUUGUUUUGGUGUAGAGCAAAAAGAGAGUGAGGGGUGGGUUAUAUAUUAGGUGGGAAAUCGAUGGAGGCUUUCGAAGCUGUUGCUUGGAAUGUGGUCAAAGUGAAAGAGAGAGAGAGAGAGAGAGUUGCCAAAAGAGGUUGAACGCGUCGGGUCAUUUUUGACUGGGAGUGGGGGGAGAAACAGCGUACAUAGACAUGGUCCUAAUCCUAUUGAGGAGCCAUGUUUUCAAUAAUGUUUAUUGCAGUUUUGUUUUCUUUUGUUUAAUGGCAAAAAAUAAUUGGCUGGUUCGGACGGCUUUUGCUUUUCUCUUGUCUGAGGUCAGUAACACCUCUUCAGCAUCCAAUUAUGAGACCAUUUUCAAUGCACCAGACCCAUUGAAACUAGCCAUUUCGUGUCAUUUGGGUGUGAGCUGAGUGUAAAUGUAACGGAUACGUUUAAACUUAAAAAAAAUAUAUCUAUGUUCUGUUUUAGAAGGCUUUCAGAAAAUACCUGUAAUCUCAUGGACAGCUCCUUGUCAUCUCAUCUUUUGGUUAUAUAUAAUUAGACUUUUAAGUUUUUAUUUUAAUUAUAAAGAUUAAAUUAUUGUCUAUAUAUCUACUUAAAAAUCAAUUAAUUUAUUAAUUUUAUAGAUAUAAUAUAAUAAACCAAAGAUCAAUAUUUAAUUUUAUACUCGUGAAGCUAAAAUCUCUACACAUUACCAUAACCAAAAAUCUAAAUUAAAGAAAAUUUAGUUUGGUAGCAUUUUGCUUCAAAACUUCAAGGUAAUUGUCUUGCUCCCUUUUUUAAAUUGCUUCAAAUAGUAAGACAAAGUGCUUACUAUUUAAGAUCUUUCAAACAUUAUUUCAGAUAAAGUUAUAAUCAUAAUUGGCGAAUCAGUAUAUAAUUAAAUAAAAUUCACUUAUGAGGAAAUUUGAAUUUAAGAUUUUAAAAUUUUAAAAAUUUUUUAUCAUUAAAUCAAAAUUUCAUUAAAAAGUAAUAAAAUGGGUGUGAGUCAAUUGAUGCUAACAACAUCGACUUUGUGUUGCAUUUUGUUUUGGCAUAGAAAUUUGACUGGAAAUAGAAAAUAAAUCAGUAUUCUUGGAUUGGAAAGUAUGAAAAUACAAUCUCAAGUUUAGAAGCUUUUGCAUUUGUGGUAUCCUUUUAAACUUUAAAACCUUGCCAAUGUUAUUUACCAUUUGAAAUUGGAAAUAAAGAAUAGAUUCAACUGUUGUAUUCUGAUUUAUACAAAAAUUUAAAUUUGAUAAUUUGUAUCAUAGUAUUAUAAAAAAUAUUAUAUUUGUAUAUUAUUUUAUACGAAAAUUACGUGUCAUAAUUUGUAUUGACAUAAAAUAUAAAAUAUAAUUUUUUAUUUUAUUAAAGUUAUUUAUAAUGUUUUAAAAAUUUUAAACUGUAUUAUUUUCGUAUAAUUUAUUCAUUUUCAUAUUAUAUUAUCGUGUCAUGUUUUAAAUUAUCAAAUUUACAAAAAUUAAUACAUAAAUAAUUUCUAAGAAUAAAAUUUUUAAAAAAAAUCCAUAUGUGGAUGGAAGUUGGACCUUAAGAAAAAAAAUAAAGAAAGGAAUAAUGCACAUUCGAUUGGCUGGCCAGAAUCCAAUAUUUAUCAAAUUGAUUCCAUGCACAUGGAAAAUUCGAUUUCAUCUCUGGGAGUUGUAACUGGAAAACGAAUAAUUGCUUAUAAUAAUAUAAUUAAUAUAAUAAUUUAUUCUUUGGAAAAUUUUUGAAUUUUUGAAUUGAAUAUUCAUAUAUUUACACGUGCAUAACAAGCUUGGCAAACAUUUAAAGCCCAAUGACCUUAAGAAUUGUCAAUUUUAAGGGUCAAAAAAAAAAAAAAAGAAUCGUUGACAAAAAUUUUUUAUAAUGCGAUACUGAUAUUUUUUAAGUUUUGUUCGAAAUUAAUUUUUUAAAAAAUUUAAAAAUUAUAUAUUUUUAUAUUGGUUUGAUGUAUUUAAAAUUUUAAUUUAAAAAUACUCUUCAUAAAAAAAAAAAAAAAAAAAAAAAAAAAAAAACUUACUUGACCUCUGUGAGUAUGGUUAAAUGUGUGAAAUCAACAAGAAUAGAGUAAAUGUAUAAUAAUAAUAAUAAUUCGUUUUAGCAGUCUUGAAUAAAAUAACGUAGGCGUGACGACUUGACUGCAGGCACGUGGAAACCGAGCUAAUAUAAUUGAUUAAUAUUAUUCCAAUCGCUUUUAGUUUCAGAAGCAUGAAGCAAGCUGUUAAUGUACGACAAAUGCUUAUGGUAAUAAAAUAAUUUAUUUUGUCGUGAUUUGUGAUCAUCAAAAUUCAGGAAAAAGCUUGGAAGCUCAGGUUUGCGUGUUAAUCUCACAUCUCACUCUUCUAAUAACUUGAUUCAUUCUCUAUAGGGUUUCUUGGGCUUGUUCUCCUAGUUGACUUCGAAACUUCUAAAUCUUUACCAUAUAAAAAAUGGAGAUGACUCCAUUGUGUAAGCAGCAGUUCUGGGGGAGUGGCCAAAUUUUCUCUGAUUCUUUUCUUUCCUGCAGAUAAAAUAGAUGUAAGCUGUCCAAGCAAGUCUGAGAAUUCUAAGACUUGCCUUUGGGAGAACUAGUUGCCCAUUGAAGAUAACCAGAACGUGCAGGGGGG
RNAcentral lists this long non-coding RNA (5550 nucleotides) under Durio zibethinus. RNAcentral describes it as "long non-coding RNA (DZIB_LNC000370)". The record is from RNAcentral. Lineage: Eukaryota; Viridiplantae; Streptophyta; Magnoliopsida; Malvales; Malvaceae.